This 305-nucleotide ribosomal RNA is filed under the name uncultured bacterium. Its description in RNAcentral is "bacterial SSU rRNA". It matches the Rfam family "Bacterial small subunit ribosomal RNA", at positions 338 to 641 of the family's 1533-position model. The record is from RNAcentral.
CCUACGGGGGGCAGCAGUGAGGAAUAUUGGUCAAUGGGCGCGAGCCUGAACCAGCCAAGUCGCGUGAGGGAUGAAGGAUCUAUGGUUCGUAAACCUCUUUUAUAAGGGAAUAAAGUGCGGGACGCGUCCCGCUUCGCAUGUACCUUAUGAAUAAGCAUCGGCUAACUCCGUGCCAGCAGCCGCGGUAAUACGGAGGAUGCGAGCGUUAUCCGGAUUUAUUGGGUUUAAAGGGUGCGUAGGCGGUAUUUUAAGUUAGUGGUAAAACGUCGGGGCUUCACCUUGAUUGGCCAUUAAAACUGGAGUAC